RNA transcript from Pan troglodytes (chimpanzee), 4460 nucleotides. It is a transcript of the gene named leukocyte immunoglobulin like receptor B1, with no coding region annotated. NCBI's taxonomy places the organism in Eukaryota, Metazoa, Chordata, Mammalia, Primates, Hominidae. The record is from RefSeq and is marked provisional. The transcript is spliced from 17 exons.
AUUAUUAAAAAGUCAAGGGACACAUGUUCUCAGGACCUUCUGAGGGCUGAUCACUCAUAUUUGGCUCAGAAAAAUCUCUUUUAAUAUAUUACAGAGUUUGACUCUUUUUGUCCACAAUAAUUUGGUGCCUGAACACGUGAGGCCUCAGAUAAGACUCAGGACCUCAAAGGAGUUGUCUCAACCUGGAGCUAAGGUACCAGCAGGGGCCCACUGAAAGCCUCCAGGAUUUUGAGCUUCUUCUCUGCCAGAAGUGGAAGUUGUUGUUUAAGGAUCCUACUUCUAGUUGGGAGAUACAUUCUAAAGGGUCUUCUCCAUUGCUUUUCUCCCCAAAUUAAUCUCGAUUUGGCUUGUCUGUUCACAUUUGCAUGAGGAACUGAACUGUUGUUUUCAUAGGGAAACGAGAGACUGUGUCUCCUCAGCUUAAAAAAGAAAGGGCAUUUUGCUCCUCCCAGCCAAAAUGUGGGAAGUGAUGAGGGGGGCUUGUGGGAGUGUCUGGGGGUGGGUGGACCCCAUCGUGAUGUGAGUGGCCUACAGGGAACACCCAACAAAAUGAGUUUUAAAAAGGCUUGUCCAGGAAGCACAUAUGGGAGCUGGUCACUCUGCAUUUUGGGCCCUCCUGGAGGUGUUUAGACCUUCGGAGAGAGAAACUGAGACACAUGAGAGGGAAGAAAUGACUCAGUGGUGAGACCCUGUGGAGUCCCACCCACAACCAGCACACUGUGACCCACUGCACAAACCUCUAGCCCACAGCUCACUUCCUCCUUUAAGAAGAGAAGAGAAAAGAAAAGAAGAGGAGAGGAGAGGAGGAAGAGAAAAGAAAAGAAAAGAAAAAGUGGGAAACAAAUAAUCUAAGAAUGAGGAGAAAGCAAGAAGAGUGACCCCCUUGUGGGCACUCCAUUGGUUUUAUGGUGCCUCUGCUUGCUGGAGUUUGUGUAAAACAAAAAUAGUAUGGUCUUUGUGCACAUUUACAUCAAGCUCAGCCUGGACGGCACAGCCAGAUGCAAGAUGCGUCUCUGCUGAUCUAAGUCUGCCUGCAGCAUGGACCUGGGUCUUCCCUGAAGCAUCUCCAGGGCUGAAGGGACGACUGCCAUGCCCUAAAGGAAUGAGAGCCAGGCUCCUGGGGAGGGCAGUUCCACUUCCUGUGUGGCUGCAGAUGACAAAACCCCAUGACAAGAAGGACCCAGCCUCCGAUUGGCCACACCCUGUGUGUCUCUGUCCUGCCAGCACCAAGGGCUCAUCCAUCCGCAGAGCAGGGCAGUGGGAGGAGACGCCAUGACCCCCAUCCUCAUGGUCCUGAUCUGUCUCGGGCUGAGUCUGGGCCCCAGGACCCACGUGCAGGCAGGGUCCCUCCCCAAGCCCACCCUCUGGGCUGAGCCAGGCUCUGUGAUCACCCAGGGGAGUCCUGUGACCCUCAGGUGUCAGGGGGGCCAGGAGACCCAGGAGUACCGUCUAUAUAGAGAAAAGAAAACAGCAUCCUGGAUUACACGGAUCCCACAGGAGCUUGUGAAGAAGGGCCAGUUCCCCAUCCCACCCAUCACCUGGGAAGACGCAGGGCGGUAUCGCUGUUACUAUGGUAGCCACACUGCAGGCCGGUCAGAGAACAGUGACCCUCUGGAGCUGGUGGUGACAGGAGCCUACAGCAAACCCACCCUCUCAGCUCUGCCCAGCCCUGUGGUGACCUCAGGAGGGAAUGUGACCCUCCAGUGUGUCUCACAGGUGGAAUUUGACGGCUUCAUUCUGUGUAAGGAAGGAGAAGAUGAACACCCACAAUGCCUGAACCAUGCCCGUGGGUCAUCCCGGGCCAUCUUCUCUGUGGGCCCCGUGAGCCCGAGUCGCAGGUGGUCGUACAGGUGCUAUGCUUAUGACUCGAGCUCUCCCUAUGUGUGGUCUUCACCCAGUGAUCUCCUGGAGCUCCUGGUCCUAGGUGUUUCUAAGAAGCCAUCACUCUCAGUGCAGCCGGGUCCUGUCGUGGCCCCUGGGGAGAAGCUGACCCUCCAGUGUGGCUCUGAUGCUGGUUACGACAGAUUUGUUCUGUAUAAGGACGGGGAACGUGACUUCCUCCAGCUCGCUGGCGCACAGCCCCAGGCUGGGCUCUCCCAGGCCAACUUCACCCUGGGCCCUGUGAGACCCUCCCACGGGGGCCAGUACAGAUGCUACGGUGCACACAACCUCUCCUCCGAGUGGUCGGCCCCCAGUGACCCCCUGGACAUCCUGAUCACAGGACAGAUCCCUGACAGACCCUCCCUCUCGGUGCAGCCGGGCCCCACAGUGGCCUCAGGAGAGAACGUGACCCUGCUGUGUCAGUCAUGGCAGCAGUUCCACACUUUCCUUCUGACCAAGGCAGGAGCAGCUGAUGCCCCCCUCCAUCUAAGAUCAACACAGAAAUCUCCUCAGUACCAGGCUGAAUUCCCCAUGAGUCCUGUGACCUCAGCCCACGCGGGGACCUACAGGUGCUACGGCUCACUCAACUCCGACCCCUACCUGCUGACUCACCCCAGUGAGCCCCUGGAGCUCGUGGUCUCAGGCCCUGAGGACCAGCCCCACACCCCCACCGGGUCGGAUCCCCAGAGUGCUCCGGGACUCGGCUCUGGUGCAGGAACAAGGGCUGCAGGUCUGGGAAGGCACCUGGGGGUUGUGAUCGGCAUCUUGGUGGCCGUCGUCCUCCUGCUCCUCCUCCUCCUCCUCCUGUUCCUCGUCCUCCGACACCGACGUCAGGGCAAACGCUGGACAUCGACCCAGAGAAAGGCUGAUUUCCAACAUCCUGCAGGGGCUGUGGGGCCAGAGCCCACAGACAGAGGCCUGCAGAGGAGGUCCAGCCCAGCUGCCGAUGCCCAGGAAGAAAACCUCUGUGAGUGAGAGGAAGAGGUGACCAGCCAGGAGGGAGAUGGGGGCCCCGAAGUUUCCGUAGCAAUGGGGAAAGCGGCACCGGCUGGAAAGGGUCUGGGGCUCAGGAUGCUGCCGUGAAGGACACACAGCCUGAGGACGGAGUGAAGCUGGACACUCGGGAGAGCCCACACGAUGAAGACCCCCAAGCAGUGACGUAUGCCAAGGUGAAACACUCCAGACCUAGGAGAGAAAUGGCCUCCCCUCCUUCCCCACUGUCCGAAGAAUUCCUGGACACAAAGGACAGACAGGCGGAAGAGGACAGGCAGAUGGACACUGAGCCUGCUGCAUCUGAAGCCCCCCAGGAUGUGACCUAUGCCCAGCUGAACAGCUUGACCCUCAGAUGGGAGGCAAUUGAGCCUCCUCCAUCCCAGGAAGGGCCCUCUCCAGCGGUGCCCAGCAUCUACGCCACUCUGGCCAUCCACUAGCCCAGGGGGGGACGCAGACCCCACACUCCACGGAGUCUGGAAUGCAUGGGAGCUGCCCCCCAGUGGACACCAUUGGACCCCAGCCAGCCUGGAUCUACCCCAGGAGACUCUGGGAACUUUUAGGGGUCACUCAAUUCUGCAGUAUAAAUAACUAAUAUCUCUACAAUUUUGAAAUAAAGCAACAGACUUCUCAAUAAUCAAUGAAGUAGCUGAGAAAACUAAGUCAGAAAGUGCAUUAAACUGAAUCACAAUGUAAAUAUUACACAUCAAACGAUGAAAUUGGAAAACUACAAGCCACGAAUGAAUGAAUUAGAAAAGAAAAAAAGUAGGAAAUGAAUGAUCUUGGCUUUCCUAUAAGAAAUUUAGGGCAGGGCGCGAUGGCUCACGCCUGUAAUUCCAGCACUUUGGGAGGCCGAGGCGGGCAGAUCACGAGUUCAGGAGAUCGAGACCAUCCUGGCCAACAUGGUGAAACCCUGUCUCUCCUAAAAAUACAAAAAUUAGCUGGGUGUGGUGGUGGGCGUGCCUGUAAUCCCAGCUAUUUGGCAGGCUGAGUCAGGAGAAUCGCUUGAACCAGGGAGUCAGAGGUUUCAGUGAGCCAAGAUCGCACCACUACUCUCCAGCCUGGCGACAGAGGGAGACUCCAUCUCAAAUUAAAAAAAAAAAAAGAAAGAAAGAAAAAGAGAAAAAAGAAAUUUAGAAGAAUAACAAGUUAUUCCAAAUGAAGGCAUAAGAAAGGGAAUAAUAACAAUAAUAAGAGGAGUUGUUCAUGAGGAAAAACCAAAGCUUGAAAAUUCAACAAAGCCAGUGAAGCUCAUUCUUGAAAACAUGAAUCACACUCAUGAAUUCUAACUACAAUGAGCAAGAGAAAGAAAGAGCAGGCACGCAUUUCCAUAUGGGAGUGAGUCAGCAGACAGCCCUACAGAUCCUACACACAUUUUCAAAAACUAACAAUGGAACAGGCGGCAAACCUAUGCCAACAUAUUAGAAAUUGCAGAUUAAAUAGAUGAAAUAUUCUAAACUGGAGUUUACGUAAUGAACAUAAGAGUAAUCAGAGAAUCUGACUCAUUUUAGAUGUGUAUGUGUGUAUAUAUGUGUGUGUGUGUGAAAAACAUUGAUUAUAAUAAAAAUGAUCCCAUGGUAUAAACUCGA